CAAUAGCGUAUAUUAAAGUUGUUGCAGUUAAAAAGCUCGUAGUUGGAUUUCUGGUAGGAGUGACCGUUCCGAACUUGAUUGUUCGUGUAUUGUGUUUUCUCCAGCCAUCCUUGUGGAGAACUUUUCUUGCAUUAAUUUGUAGGGAUUGGGACCCGCAUCGUUUACUGUGAAAAAAUUAGAGUGUUUUAAGCAGGCAAUCGCUUGAAUACAUUAGCAUGGAAUAAUAAGAUAGGACUUUGGUACUAUUUUGUUGGUUUGCAUACCAAAUUAAUGAUCAACAGGAACAGUUUGAGGAUAUUCGUAUGAACAUGUCAGAGGUGAAAUUCUUGGAUUUUGAUCAGACGAACUACUGCGAAAGCAUUUAUCAAGGAUGUUUUCAUUAA
This 383-nucleotide ribosomal RNA is filed under the name uncultured eukaryote. RNAcentral describes it as "partial 18S ribosomal RNA". It matches the Rfam family "Eukaryotic small subunit ribosomal RNA", at positions 592 to 976 of the family's 1831-position model. The record is from RNAcentral.